CUAAAAGCGAGUCAGUCUCAGAAGAUUUAUGUGUUAAAAUUCUCAGUUUUUGAAAGCGUACUUUUACAGACUAGUAAAAAAAAGUUUGGGCGUCUUAAUUAUUUUAUUUUAUUUUAUUUUUUUAAAAAUGAGCAAUCCAUCGUGAUACUGGGCUUCGUGAGUGGCAACUUUCCUUACACCUGCUGUUGAAGCCAGUCUUGUCUGUUAUGGCUCACCUCGCUAGUUUGACUUUUGUGACUUAUGUGGCGUUUUUGGAGGAUUUUAAUGGAAUUAUCUGACAUUUAUAUUAUGGCUUUCUGUAUGUUACAGCCUGACGAAGAAGCGAGAGGAAAUGCGCACAGGAUGUGGGAUCUCAUUCUGUAGGACUUUUGCGACGUUUGGUUCAGUCCAGUCUAGUCUGGUCAGGCCAGUCUAAAUGCAAAAGAGAUGCAGACUGAGAAAGGAUGAUGAAUUCUCUUCUUAGGGUUGCUCUGACUGUAUAUCUCAAAGAAGCGGGCUUUAAACCCCCUAAAAUGGAUCCAAUUACGAAGAGGGCUUUUUGGUGAUGCUUGUGGAACUGUGUGUAAUUGUGUAACCCUAAUUUUCCUGGCACGGAGGCUCUGACAGAGGCCUGUCAUCUCCUCUAAGGCUCUUCUUUCAGGCACGAUGCUGAAAUGAGAUCUCGUCUUAGCUGCAGAAAUGCUGAAAGUAAUAUAACGGACACCAAGAGAACAAAAUCACCUUCUUACAGAGAAAUCCCUUAGAAAAAGGGCUUUAGCUUCCAUAUCUACACUGGUCUCUCAGCUGACAUGAUGCAGUGAAGAGGGCUGUGUGAUAUGUACUUAUAGUGCAGUCUUACAGAUGAGAAGAAAUUUUUCAUCUCUUAAAGCACUGAGAAAUUUAAUGUUGGCGCUUAACCCCCCCCCCCCCAAACAAACUAUAUUCAGUGCAUAGUUGUGUAAAUGUAUGCUCUUGAAUAAAACAAAAAUUUAUAAAAGCCUAAUGACGGAAAAGGACCAGACUGGCUUUGGUGGCUGUCUAAAUUCACCUUUGUGCACCCAUUCCACCUGCCUGUGUCUCUCAGACCUCAUAAUCGGCAGCAGCAUCCUCUGGCACGGCAAUCUAAUGGCUCAUAAAUGUUUUAUAGCAGUGCAUGAUCUAGCUGUUCUGUAUCUACCUCUGCUAUUAUGUGUUCUUUGAGAGAAAGAGAUGAAAAACAGUCAGUUCCCUAUGAAUGAAUGGAUUUCAGUAAUAUUUUUUUUUAAGUCAUACAUAAUAAUGAAACUCUUUCAUUUUUUUUUUCUGUCACUGAGAAACAAAAGCCAUGUUAACCAUACUGAUAUUCUUCUGAUGAUAAUGAAUUGUUUUGAAUAGUUGGUUUAAGAAAACGGGAUUGUGCGUGUGUGUGUAAAUUACUGCAGAUAGUAGUAGCAAAUCUUUUGCCUUUGAUCUUUGCAACCAUCAAAGAGAUCCGACCUCCCAAAGUCAGACAGCCAGCAACAUGCAGUGCUGAAUUUCAUAUGCUUUGAGAGAACGUCAAACAGCAUCUCUUCAUUUCUCCCUUGCUGGUCAGUAAUCUCUGUAAAAGAAAUACUAUGAGACUGCAUAGAUAAUAAACUGCCAGCUGCUAGCACAUACUUAGCACAAUAACAA
Long non-coding RNA from Oreochromis aureus, 1632 nucleotides. Lineage: Eukaryota; Metazoa; Chordata; Actinopteri; Cichliformes; Cichlidae. The record is from Ensembl.